This 492-nucleotide ribosomal RNA is filed under the name uncultured bacterium. RNAcentral describes it as "partial 16S ribosomal RNA". It matches the Rfam family "Bacterial small subunit ribosomal RNA", at positions 29 to 507 of the family's 1533-position model. The record is from RNAcentral.
AGUGAACGCUGGCGGUAGGCCUAACACAUGCAAGUCGAACGGCAGCACAGUAAGAGCUUGCUCUUACGGGUGGCGAGUGGCGGACGGGUGAGGAAUACAUCGGAAUCUACUUUUUCGUGGGGGAUAGCGUAGGGAAACUUACGCUAAUACCGCAUACGACCUACGGGUGAAAGCAGGGGAUCUUCGGACCUUGCGCGAUUGAAUGAGCCGAUGUCGGAUUAGCUAGUUGGCGGGGUAAAGGCCCACCAAGGCGACGAUCCGUAGCUGGUCUGAGAGGAUGAUCAGCCACACUGGAACUGAGACACGGUCCAGACUCCUACGGGAGGCAGCAGUGGGGAAUAUUGGACAAUGGGCGCAAGCCUGAUCCAGCCAUACCGCGUGGGUGAAGAAGGCCUUCGGGUUGUAAAGCCCUUUUGUUGGGAAAGAAAAGCAGCAGGUUAAUACCCCGCUGCUCUGACGGUACCCAAAGAAUAAGCACCGGCUAACUUCGUG